GUGCUCGCUUCGGCAGCACAUAGACUAAAACGGGAACGAUACAGAGAAGAUUAUCAUGGCCCCUGCGCAAGGAUGACACGCAAAUUCAUGAAGCGUUGCAUAUUUUU
Rhinolophus ferrumequinum (greater horseshoe bat) is the source of this 107-nucleotide small nuclear RNA. The record is from Ensembl. Lineage: Eukaryota; Metazoa; Chordata; Mammalia; Chiroptera; Rhinolophidae.